This is a long non-coding RNA of Crotalus tigris (Tiger rattlesnake), 1902 nucleotides long. RefSeq lists it as uncharacterized. The record is from RefSeq and is a predicted model, not a curated record. The transcript is spliced from 7 exons. NCBI's taxonomy places the organism in Eukaryota, Metazoa, Chordata, Lepidosauria, Squamata, Viperidae.
CGCGUUCUUUUUGGGAGUUUUCGUGGAAGGCAAGAAGAAUUCAGUGAGGAAUGUAUGGAGGAAUGGCUUGCAAAGCUGUCCAAGCUGAAAGAUGUGGAAUCACCUAAAGUACUCUCAGUUCCAUGGCGAAUAUUUUUUUUAAAGCGACGUGAUUCAAAUGAAUCAAUGAAGAAAUAGCAGAACUUUUGUACUAGAUCUAUGGAAAAAAAGGAGUCAUGUAAGCCUAAGAAAAAUGGAGCUGGCUGUUUCAAGCGCAUCCAGGAAAUAUAAAGGAGUGUUGUGCUUAGCUUGAAGCGCUGGUGAUAAAAGAAGCUGCAUCACAUUUUGCUGUGAUUGCUACUCCAGAAAGAUUCCCAACUGCCAUGUGAUGUUUACAAGAGCAGCGUGAGAUUGACUGGCUGGAAAAUAAUUUAAAUUCAGUAGUGCUAAUGCUCAAUAAAUACAUUUUUUGCACUGUAGCAACUUUUAAUGCUGCCAGACACUGGAGUGAGAACUAUUGGGAACCGGGUCAAAAGCAAUUCCACCACUAUGCAGCAUUCUUAAUUAAGAUAGAAAAAGACUUCUCAGUGGGGCUGGCACUAAAGUUUCCAUGCCAGAUGAUCAGAUAAGUAUCUUUUUUUUUUUUUAAGUUAACCCCACUAUUGAAGCUUGGUUAUACCUCUCUCAGUAAACUGGGCUGAUCUUUCCUGUGAUAAAAUAAGAUCUCUAAUGUAUUCUUGGAGAAAAACUGGGAGAUACGCUCAAAUUAACUUAUGGCUGCCUCGGUUUUGUUUCAGGGACAUGAAAGUAGCAAAAUUUCAGUGUCCAAUUCUGAUCCACUUGUGCAACUGAUAAGCUAAGCAAGACUUGUUUUCCAUGACACAAUUCUCCGACCUUCAAAUUAAAAUGAUUGAGCAGGACAAUUACAGGAAGGAAGCUGUUCAACUGGACUUAAUUAAGAAAUCUCAUCUCAUUUUUUUGUAAAAGGUCUAUAUAAUUCCUUUAUAACACAUACUUACCCAAAAGGAAAUAUUAUUGUGUGUUCUAGCUGCUAAGAUUUGGAGCUCCCUGAAAGCUAUUCAUUUUUAUUUCUUGCUUACGUAAGUCCAAAUCCCCAGCUCUUUAAAAAGUUCUAAACACUGAAGUCUCAUGAAGAAUUAUUUUGUUUUCCUCGCUGCUCUCUAUGUCUGUUUGUUGUAUUAAUAAACGUACAUAGUUUUGAACUGCAAAAUGGUUGGUAAUAAUAAUAAUAAUUGAAAGACUCUUUCAACAUUUCAUUCAGUCCAAUAACACUGAAUGAGAUGUGUUCAAAAUAUUCUCACUGGCAGUAUGGAGAAUCCUGACAGCUGCUUAACCCAACUCUUUAUGACUGAUGUAAAUUGACAGCUGCAUAGCUCUGUCUUUGUAUAUAAGAAAAUAAUUAAGUGAGCACUAAAAUUCUUUUGGAGUACUGUCAUAGGGUCCUCGAAAGGUUAAAAUUAAAAUUCAGAGAAAGAUUUUGAUUUGUACAGGUCAGUGGGAAAAAACAAUCCCUAGAAUUUUAAGGUCGAUAUAUCCUUAAUGUAUGAAAAUAAUUUUUCCUCUUCUCAAAUGUGGACUGAUAUGAGCUUCAUGUUAACAACAGAGUAGCUGAUUUACUUAAUUAUCUGUUUCUGGUUUAAAAUUAUAUUUGUCUGUUUUAAUUUUUGUCAUAAUAAAUCAGUUGUUCAAACUUUAGGUCUUGUAUAGACUAUCAGAAGAACUUCAAUAUAUCUCAUUUGAACCAUGACUAACAAAAACAACAAACUACAGUAUAAGGAGGUGCCAGCAGGUUCCAUACAGAAAUCAAGAUAGUGGUGUACAGUCUUGUUGAGAAAAUUAUACUGUGUAGUAAUUAUAUGAUUUUGAAAGAGUAUGUAAGAAUAAAUUAACUGAUGGAUAAUA